RNAcentral lists this long non-coding RNA (235 nucleotides) under Salvia miltiorrhiza (redroot sage). Its description in RNAcentral is "long non-coding RNA (SMIL_LNC001717)". The record is from RNAcentral. Lineage: Eukaryota; Viridiplantae; Streptophyta; Magnoliopsida; Lamiales; Lamiaceae.
AUUUUGAGAUUUGCAUAUUGCACACGACCUUCAAAAUUACCCCCAAAAUACAUGACUUUUCAAUUUAAUCGCAAUUUGCACCCGCGUUGACUAACACUUUGAUCGGUGGUGACGUGGCCAUCGGAUUUUGUUGACGUGGACGCACCGGCGAUCAAGUAAAACGACGUCGUUUUUGUCAAGUUUUUUUAAAAUAAAAAAAACAAAAAAAAACAUGAAAUCCGGCGCCCCCUCCCCC